UACGGAGGGUGCAAGCGUUAUCCGGAUUCACUGGGUUUAAAGGGUGCGUAGGUGGGCAGUUAAGUCAGUGGUGAAAUCUCCGGGCUCAACCCGGAACUGCCGUUGAUACUAUCUGUCUUGAAUGUCGUGGAGGUAAGCGGAAUAUGUCAUGUAGCGGUGAAAUGCUUAGAUAUGACAUAGAACACCAAUUGCGAAGGCAGCUUACUACCCGAAUAUUGACACUGAGGCACGAAAGCGUGGGGAUCAAACAGG
Molecule: ribosomal RNA, 252 nt
Filed under: uncultured bacterium
Lineage: Bacteria
Description: partial 16S ribosomal RNA
Rfam family: Bacterial small subunit ribosomal RNA
Source: RNAcentral